CACAGAGCCACCUCAUCGUGCAAGAGUCUGUCUCUCCUUUCUUGGUGCUCCCAUUGGGGGCGCCCGGAGGAGCCUGCCUGCCGGAGGAGGAACGUGAUUAGACUCAUUUGGGCCCAAGAGCAGUGAUGGAUGUGGACAGGCGGAGCCGCCGGCUGACCCAGUGUCCGCCGGGCGCCGGGGGCCCCUCCGCAGGGCCAGGCCCGCUCCUGGACGGGUGGCUCCUGGACGCCUCGCGCACGAGCUCAGACGGGACCCCCGGCCCUGCCCCCCUGCCCGUGGCUCUCCCGCCUGCUCUCGCGGGUCCCUCUCCCACCCCCGGGCCAGCGUGCUCCUCCCAGCCGCCCCGCGAGCUCCUGACUGCGCACCCCAGUCUCCCCAUCGCAUUUGCUGUCUUCCCGAUUCCCAUCUGUCCUCCUUGGGAUCAACUCAGGGUCCCCACACAGCCUGGCUCUGGCACCCGGGAGGGGCUCAGGCAAAGUCGUCCAUGGGAACCUCCACGUACCAGGUCUCCAUCGGGCUCCUCGGAUGACUCGGGGCUGGAGAAGCCUUGGCUGUGUGCUGGUUGCCCAUCCAGGGCGAAGCGCUUUCGGAGGCAGGAAGGCCCGUAAAGUGACACCGGUGUGGGGGCGGGUGGGCUGCGUGUGGCCAGGGGUGGGGGCACGGGAGGGGCCUGGUGGAAAGAACGCUGGGCCCGAGUUGGGACACCAGAGCUGCUGACCCCGAGGGACGGCACCCGCUCUCCCGCCCUGACUCCAUUUCCUCACCAGGAAGAGGAACUGCCUCCUUCCUGCUCUGCGACCCCUGCGAGAUCACACGACUGACCAGAGCGCGGCGGGGGCUUCUCGUCCCUUCGCUGCUGUCCUGCCCC
Molecule: long non-coding RNA, 868 nt
Filed under: Vulpes vulpes (red fox)
Lineage: Eukaryota; Metazoa; Chordata; Mammalia; Carnivora; Canidae
Description: lncRNA (ENSVVUG00000015406.1)
Source: RNAcentral